GAUGGACUUAAAAAGCUCUCAACUGGUACAAAAUGACACAUCUGAACAACACAGUCUAAUAUGUGCAAAUCAGGAAACUGUACUUAUUAGGCAUUGUCACCUAGUGAAAGGAGGACUGGAAUGGGACCUAAGAGACAUGGGUUUUAUUCCUGGCUGUACUGCUGGUUUGCUGGUGAUCUUGGCUACCAUGCCCGAUGGUGGCCAGGGACAUGCCCCCAACCACGGACCCCA
Long non-coding RNA from Alligator sinensis (Chinese alligator), 231 nucleotides. RefSeq lists it as uncharacterized. The transcript has 3 exons. NCBI's taxonomy places the organism in Eukaryota, Metazoa, Chordata, Crocodylia, Alligatoridae. The record is from RefSeq and is a predicted model, not a curated record.